This 87-nucleotide transfer RNA is filed under the name Merluccius polli (Benguela hake). RNAcentral's name for it is "tRNA-Leu". The record is from RNAcentral. Lineage: Eukaryota; Metazoa; Chordata; Actinopteri; Gadiformes; Merlucciidae.
GUCAGGAUGGUCCGAGGCGGGUCUAAGGCGCUGCGUUCAGGUCGCAGUCUCCCCUGGAGGCGUGGGUUUCUAAUCCCACUUCUGACA